RNAcentral lists this ribosomal RNA (471 nucleotides) under uncultured bacterium. Its description in RNAcentral is "bacterial SSU rRNA". It matches the Rfam family "Bacterial small subunit ribosomal RNA", at positions 28 to 526 of the family's 1533-position model. The record is from RNAcentral.
GGCUAACGCUGGCGGCGCGCCUAACACAUGCAAGUCGAACGAACCUUCGGGUUAGUGGCAGACGGGUGAGUAACGCGUGAGCAACGUGCCUUCUUUCUGGGGAUACCGUUUGGAAACGAACGUUAAUACCGAAUGUGGUGCAGUGACGGCAUCGUCGUUGUACUAAACUGUUUUUAGGGAGAGAAGAGCGGCUCGCGUACUAUCAGCUAGAUGGUGGGGUAAUGGCCUACCAUGGCUACGACGGUUAACUGGUCUGAGAGGAUGAUCAGUCACACUGGAACUGAGACACGGUCCAGACUCCUACGGGAGGCAGCAGUGAGGAAUCUUGCACAAUGGGCGAAAGCCUGAUGCAGCGACGCCGCGUGAGGGACGAAUGCCUUCGGGUUGUAAACCUCUGUCAGUGGGGAAGAAGAAUGACGGUACCCACUGAGGAAGCUUCGGCUAACUACGUGCCAGCAGCCGCCGUAACAC